CGGGGCGUGGCGCAGUCUGGUAGCGCACUUGUCUGGGGGACAAGUGGUCGCUGGUUCAAAUCCAGUCGCUCCGACCA
Molecule: transfer RNA, 77 nt
Filed under: Desulfamplus sp.
Lineage: Bacteria; Pseudomonadati; Thermodesulfobacteriota; Desulfobacteria; Desulfobacterales; Desulfobacteraceae
Description: tRNA-Pro
Rfam family: tRNA
About the family: Transfer RNA (tRNA) molecules are approximately 80 nucleotides in length. Their secondary structure includes four short double-helical elements and three loops (D, anti-codon, and T loops). Further hydrogen bonds mediate the characteristic L-shaped molecular structure. tRNAs have two regions of fundamental functional importance: the anti-codon, which is responsible for specific mRNA codon recognition, and the 3' end, to which the tRNAs corresponding amino acid is attached (by aminoacyl-tRNA synthetases). tRNAs cope with the degeneracy of the genetic code in two manners: having more than one tRNA (with a specific anti-codon) for a particular amino acid; and 'wobble' base-pairing, i.e. permitting non-standard base-pairing at the 3rd anti-codon position.
Source: RNAcentral